UACGAAGGGGGCUAGCGUUGUUCGGAAUUACUGGGCGUAAAGCGUACGUAGGCGGAACGUUAAGUCAGGGGUGAAAUCCCGAGGCUCAACCUCGGAACUGCCUUUGAUACUGGCGCUCUUGAGUCCGGGAGAGGUGAGUGGAACUCCUAGUGUAGAGGUGAAAUUCGUAGAUAUUAGGAAGAACACCAGUGGCGAAGGCGGCUCACUGGCCCGGAACUGACGCUGAGGUACGAAAGCGUGGGGAGCAAACAGG
RNAcentral lists this ribosomal RNA (253 nucleotides) under uncultured bacterium. Its description in RNAcentral is "partial 16S ribosomal RNA". It matches the Rfam family "Bacterial small subunit ribosomal RNA", at positions 524 to 776 of the family's 1533-position model. The record is from RNAcentral.